UACGUAGGGGGCGAGCGUUGUCCGGAAUUAUUGGGCGUAAAGCGCGCGUAGGCGGUUCAUUAAGUCCGAUGUGAAAACUCUCGGCUCAACUGGGAGACUGCAUUGGAAACUAAUGGGCUAGAGUCCAGCAGAGGGAAGUGGAAUUCCAAGUGUAGCGGUGAAAUGCGCAGAUAUUUGGAAGAACACCGGUGGCGAAGGCGGCUUCCUGGACUGCGACUGACGCUGAGGUGCGAAAGCUAGGGGAGCGAACAGG
This 253-nucleotide ribosomal RNA is filed under the name uncultured bacterium. RNAcentral's name for it is "partial 16S ribosomal RNA". It matches the Rfam family "Bacterial small subunit ribosomal RNA", at positions 524 to 776 of the family's 1533-position model. The record is from RNAcentral.